This 497-nucleotide ribosomal RNA is filed under the name uncultured bacterium. RNAcentral's name for it is "partial 16S ribosomal RNA". It matches the Rfam family "Bacterial small subunit ribosomal RNA", at positions 28 to 507 of the family's 1533-position model. The record is from RNAcentral.
GAUGAACGCUGGCGGCGUGCCUAAUACAUGCAAGUCGAGCGAACAGACGAGGAGCUUGCUCCUCUGACGUUAGCGGCGGACGGGUGAGUAACACGUGGAUAACCUACCUAUAAGACUGGGAUAACUUCGGGAAACCGGAGCUAAUACCGGAUAAUAUAUUGAACCGCAUGGUUCAAUAGUGAAAGACGGUUUUGCUGUCACUUAUAGAUGGAUCCGCGCCGCAUUAGCUAGUUGGUAAGGUAACGGCUUACCAAGGCAACGAUGCGUAGCCGACCUGAGAGGGUGGUCGGCCACACCGGAACUGAGACCCGGUCCCGACUCCUACGGGAGGCAGCAGUAGGGAAUCUUCCGCAAUGGGCGAAAGCCUGACGGAGCAACGCCGGGUGAGUGAUGAAGGUCUUCCGAUCGUAAAACUCUGUUAUUAGGGAAGAACAAAUGUGUAAGUAACUAUGCACGUCUUGACGGUACCUAAUCAGAAAGCCACGGCUAACUACGUG